Molecule: non-coding RNA, 9668 nt
Organism: Xyrichtys novacula (pearly razorfish)
Lineage: Eukaryota; Metazoa; Chordata; Actinopteri; Labriformes; Labridae
Source: the annotation of a GenBank genome assembly
GAGGCGUCCAAACGGUAGGAAAGAGGUAAAGAUAAAAAGCAAGACGGUGUUUUUAAAGGUAAGUGUUUGCUAAUGUAACCUGUUUUCCAUACUCCACAACUGUAGCAGUAUUCAUGCAUUAGCAUAUAGUUAAUUUUAGCUGCUGUCUUAGUUUGUUGCGCGGUCUGUAUUCUCUGAACUUCUUUUUUUCUUGGCUUAAUCAAAACCAUAAUUGAGACAGGGAUGACAAACGCAGAUUUGAUGUGGGGUGUCUAAACUUGGAGAGGUUUGGUUUAUACUGGACUGAAAGACGACAGUGCCUAAAAAAUGUCUGACAUCAUCUCAGACUUUCUUGUGCUUGGGGGCGACUGACUGACUGUGUGUAAUUAGGGCAAAACUGAACAGAGGGUAACCUGAGUAAAUGUCAUGUGUAAAAGUUUAUUCUACUCUUUUCAUUUCACACUGGCUGUAACACAUCCACCUGUCCUCUCUUCACUUAGCUUUGCAAAUUAUAGCUAAUGGUAACACCAGAGAUCCAAGUGCUGCAAUUCAUAUAGGUUUGUGAAGUUUGAAAGCUGUGUUUAUGUUGAGACAACGCUAAACAGUGCCCUCUAGGCACAGGGUGUGUCACUACCCCCUCUUCCAAAUGGCCCCUUAUAUCCCCUGCGUGGUUAUCUGUGCGUUACCAACCCAGAAUCAAUCCCUGGCUGCUGCACCGUGGAACCCAACUCCUGAAAGACUGAAAGCUAUGUUUACAGGCAGCAUUGUUGUGAAAAAUACAUCCUGUCAAGGGUGUGCAAGACUUAAGGCGGCUUUAAGAGGUGUGUUGGGAUGUUUUGUGGUGCAACAGUUUCACAGAAUACAUCUUGUGCUUCAUCCCACACCAUGGCACAAUGGCUGGCUUGCCCUCACUGAGGGGGUGUACUGGUGGGUGGUUGGAAGUGGCGCAACAUCAAGUGCAGCAGCAGUAAGUUUACACCCGGGAACUUGCCUUUCCCCACAGAGUAUAAGACACUUUUUGACUUCGUAACGUGUUCUUUGAUGCCUCACCUGUUUGAGCUUGGCAGGUAUUGUGUACUGAUAUCAGGCAGAGCCAGAAAGUGUAUCAAGGGGGUUGCUGGCAGCCCCUUCUGUAUGUGCUGGAAUGUGCCAAGGCUUGCUUUUGGGGUGGGACACCAUGACCUAAGGCAAUAGGAUGGGUGGGUGUGACUUGACUUACGCAGAAAGGGAAAGCAGUAUUAAGAGAUGAGGUGGGUGAGAAUUGUUACCUUUGAGGGAGUCACAACUCAUUUAUCCUUGAACCAAAUAACUGAGUGACGAUACACUGACUGAUGGUCACAGUUAGACCACAGAGUGGGAGGGCAUGGGUUAAUGAUUUGUGUCAUAUCUGAUUGAGUUUGUGACUUUGCUAACUCUCUACUUUUGAGCGCAACUAAAUUUCUACUUUUCUUUCGCUUUGCAGGGAGAGGUGUGAGAAGAGGCAGAGGGGGAAUGCUGUUUCUUUAAGAGAGAGGGAGAGAGAGAGUGUGAGAGAGAGAGAGAGAAAGGGAGGGACCUCUUUGCCCUCCAGAAACCAGGAAGGGAAUUGAGUUGAUCUGCUGCUGCUUGGUUAGCGCAUACGGGGCUUUAAGCUGCACAACAGUGAGAGGGAGAGGAGGAGAGGAGAGGGCUGAGCUAACCCACAACAAGCUUCACCACGGCCAUCGCAGGUGAGCUAAAGGCGCCCUGCCAUCCCCCCGCUGUAUGCCCUGGGCCUGUCGACCAGAGGGGAGCAGGGCAGAGGAGGAGAGGAGAGGGAGGAAUGAGGGAGGGGGGCAGAAAGGAGAGCAGGGUGGGGGGGGGGAGGUUGGCCGGAGAGGAGAGGUGGGUCGCAGCAGCAGUCCCUUGUCAAGGUUCCUCUUUUUUAAAAUCCUUACAAAGUACUUCCUCUGUGCUGCUAUUUACCUCUGGGGAAUCUUGAGAUAAAGUUUAUAGGAUGUGUUCAAGGCAUUAACUUUUCAGGCAGGUGGAAGCACUUAGAGAAGGAGGAGGAGGAGGAGGAGGAGAGGAGGGAGGGGGGUUCUCGAGAGAAGGUGGGGGGUACUGAACGAGAGGAAGGAGGAACCAAAAAUAAUUUUACUGGGCAAGGUAUGAUGGAAACAACUUUGCAGGACACUGGCGAAUGAAAUGCUCAUCACGGGGCAAGUUGUGUGCUGUGUGCGCAGGGCAUGCUGUAGUGGUUUUACACCCUUAGAAAUAGUCAUAAUUUAGGUCAGGAGUUAUAAGUAUGUCAAAAAUGUCACAGGAGUGUGAGCUGAUGAAGGAAUUCAUGUCUGAUUUGUCUGGUUCUGCUCUGACAGUUGUGAGUGAAUGUUAUUUCACAUACAGAGCUCUAUCCUGUUUGAUGGCUGGUCUGUACUUUAAUACCUGGCAGCCUGCUAGCAACAUACUGUAGUGUAUAAUUCAGCCCUGAGUGCUUACGUUAGAGCAGGCUUGGAGAUAGUGGGGGUGGUGAGGGCAGAGAUUCCUGGGACUGGUAGUCCACAGCAGGGGCUAUUAGGCAGGUUGAAUGGGGUUUCAGAACUCUAUAUCCCACAUUGCCUUGCCCUUGGCCAUCCAGGAAAGGGAACAGCCGCCAGCCUAUCCCAACAAGGAGGCGUGGUGAGUGAGCAGCUGUCAAGCCAAUGAGAGCAUGGGAUGCGGAGCUGAGUUGUGGGCUGAAAACAGAGGGGGGGUUGGUUGGGGGUGGUUGUGGUGGUUUGGGAGGGGGGGUAGGUGUCUGUUUGUGUGGGAUCAGGCAAGGGCUUGCCUGUAUGCAAGGGCCACUCGCAAGUUUCCUGUCUGGUAGAGCUCUAGCCCUGCCCAGAGACGGGGCAGCAGAGCUGGCCGGCAGGCAGGGGAGGCAGAUAGAGCCCGGGAAACAUUUUCUGCCUAUUUGGUAAGCACUCCAAAGACAUUCAUACACACACACACGCGCGCACACACACUCUCACACUGUGUCUUUAUACAGUGACUGAGAAGAGAACAGCGCCAAGCAGAGGAAAUAAAUACCGUGGCGUGUUGUGUGUGAAGGAGUGUGAGAGAGAUGGAGCUUGAUAGAGUUCAGAGUUCUUGACCCAAUUGCAAAUAAAGGAGGGAACAGCAAAUAGGUCAGUACUGAGUGUAAGGUGCUGCUCAGAACUUUUCACGGGCAACUACCAAACUUUCUUUUUUUGACUUUCAGCAUGCAAGCUCAGUGUGCAUCAGUUUCUCAUCUUAAUACAGCACACUAUUCUUUUAAUGUUUGUCUCUGCUACGAUGAUUAAAUGGCACAGCUGCUAUUAUUAGUCGAGUGAAAAGAUGAAGACGCUGCACAUCCCUUUUCUUCUGCUUUUUUAUAGUGCAAAAGUAAUUACAUCAAAACAAGUGCAUCUAAUUUUUGCUCAAGUGUCAGAGUAAGCGGGUCAAGAGUUGACCCGGUGGUUUAGCCAGGUUGGCGACUCAGGAAACCUCAGUCAGUGACAUCUUUUGUCGCUAACCGGCAAAAUAUGUGACACAACUGGUGACAACUGGAUUUCACUUUAAGGGUAAGCUGCCUCAGCAGAGCCCAUGCAGCACUAAAGUCAAAUUUAAGCCCUUUGCCUGGGAGCUUGUGUAUGUUCUGAUUGAUUUCAGUUUAUCUCAGCCACUUAAACCGUGGUCAAUCUCAUGACAUCUUUCUCUCCCCAACCCCCCUGCCUUCUUGCCCAGCAUCUUGUUAAAAGCAGAUUCUAAUCUUGCCCGUCAUGUCUUACUCGCUUGUGGCUGGUGGUUUAAAGACUUCACAGGAACCCUGACUGCCUUGCUCGAUAACCAGAUGCAUGUUUUUGGCUUUGCAUACUUGUUGAACCCGUUUUUUAAACGUGUGGGCACGAGAGGGUACAAGAAAAGCAGAGUUUAUGAAGACGCCCAACUGCUGGGAAAGUGGUUGUUCGAAGCAUUCCUAGCAUGCUGUUUUUAUGUAGUUUAAUGUCAGAAAGAAAAAUAUUAGUUUUUACAGUUAAUAAUUUCUGGAAAAUAUUACCCUGAUGCUGCCCUCUGUUCCACUCACUAGUUGCCACUACUAAGACAGUAUAAUUAGUUCAAGUUAAAUCCAGCAAGAGGUUAAACUAGGACGCCAUAUGUGUUUGUGUGCACGCAUGCAUGCAUGCGUGUGCGUCUGUGUUACCAACAAUAGACUUCAGGGGAAUUGCAGGGGACUUCAGUGACUGUGGGCAGGUCCAAGACACCACCCAUCAAUUUGGCGGUGAGGCUGAAUACAGUUUGAUAUUCCUGUAUGUUUGUGCCUACACCACUAUGGCUCAAAACUAGCAGGUUCAGACAGCCGGAGAAGACAGGUUGCGUGAUGUCGCCGUGGCAGUUUGAGGCUUUAUUUUAGAAUGAAAUGUUGGCUUUAUAAAGUUCUCUACAUGUUACCGACAUUAUGUCUGUUUUAAGUUAUUUUAAGGUGGUUCAAUGGCAUAUUUUGGCACUUUCAUUUAUUGUGGUUUAUUGUACCGAGUAGCAUCAUUUUGAGCUGCUGUUUAAUGUUUUCAUCUUUGUUUCUGUGAGUACUUUCAUCAGCCUCCUCCUCCUCCUCCUCUGUGCAUGAAACUUCACUUACCCCCUAAUGUUUGAUUCCCCUGGUCAGCUGCUCAGUAUAGCACAGCUUCCAGCCUGGCUAGGCAGACAGACAGACCCCUCUCUGUUGUUUUUCUGUUGUUGUGCUGGAGUCUAGGGGGAGUAAAGGGGCUUCUUCUGUUCUCCGCUGGGACAUUUAUUAUGGAGAGGCCAACACAACCUGAUCAAAUUAGAGCUGAAGAGGAGGAGGCUGGGAUGUUAGUCAGGGUGGGGGCAAAGCUCGACUUGAAUUCUUACAGGUUUUAGAUAAAUUGGUGCCAAUUUGGUAUUUUUAAUCAAGGGUUGUUGUUAUUUUUACAUAUACAGCCUGUGCAGAUUAGAUGUUUUUGUUUUUUUUAAUAUCAAACCUUGAAAGUACCAGAACCUUGUUUUAAUUAAUCAUAAAGCCGACAGGAAAAGUAUGUCUGACUUAUCUGACAGUUUGUAUUUAAUGAAUAAGAAGAAUGGGUGGGUUGCAUUAAAAGGCUGUAGGUGGGUGGGUCUGUGCUGCUUUGCCUUCUCAGCAAUGGAAAGGGGAAGUGGGUGAUGUGGUGGGUUCUGUGCAGAGACAGAGAUGGAGCAAUGAUGAGAUGAGAGAGACAGAUGGGGGGGGGGGGUCAGACAGUAGAGACAGGGAGAGCAAGCAGAGAGAGAGCUGGUCAUCUGAUAACAGAGCGGGUUCUGUUACAUGCCUGCCACAGAGUCACAGGAAGUCCUCUUUCCCUGUUGGGCUGCGCAUGCACAAAGCCGUCCAGCCAGAGCACGCUGGACUGCAGACUGACCAACUCGCCAGUCUUGGGUUCCGCCGGACAAUGAAAUGUGGGACUGAGUGCUGUUUUGAAGCCAUGUGUCCGAUUUGGUUGUACUUCCUUGUUGGCAGCAUGGCAGCAUCAGAGCAUGUUGUUCAGUCUGAAGUCAACUCAGACUGUGGAUGUGGUUUGAUUACACCACCGCUUGUGUAAGGCUGCUGUCCCAGUUGACGUACCGUGUGUUUCUGACACAAAUGGCAUCAUUAGGAAAUAUUCUGCAGAAGACAAUAUUUAAAAGGCAUGAUAUUCAAGUGUUAUAGUUUGGAGUUUUCAGGGUUCAUAUGUAAACUAAAAAUAUUUUAUGAUUCAAUGAACUUCUUUCAUAAUGUUCCUGCACUUUAGUGUUUCUGUGUAUGGACUGAUCACAAAACUUGAAGAACACCAUCAAAUUUGCAUAAAACACAACAUUAUCUGCUGCAUUCUUAUAGACACACUUUUUAUAUGUUGAACUGCAGUUAAUGUUGCUUACAGAAAGAAGAAAGAAAACAGUACAGAGACAAGUUAAGAACAGGGAAGCAUUAUUCAAGUUGUGCGCAGCAGCUACUGUUAUCACUUCUUUGGAUCCCUUUCUGUCUGUCAGCAUAAAACGUAGACACCAUAAAACCCCCUCCCAGCUUCCUCACAUUAAACUUUACCCUUCUUGUGGGUGGUUACCUUUCCUCUUAUUAAAGCAGGUUAUACCAGGUAACUGAAUGAGAUCUGAGUUUAUCAUUGACAUCUGAGCUGGAUUCCUAGGCCACCAUACGCUUAGGAGUUAUGUUAUGAGUGAUCUUGUGGGUUUGACGCCCUGCCUCGCCCACUGCCCCCUCACUUGCCCAGUGUCUGGGUUUUGGCAGCACUUCCUCAGUUAGUUUCUACCAGUGAAAGCUGCAAGGGCUAGAUCAGCCUUCACAAGUUAAAGUUUUAUCAGUCACUGUGCCUCUUCCUGCUUCGCUCUGAGUAUGACCAAUCAGGUUUCCUUCCACCACUGGCAGCAGUGAGUCAGUUUUGGCUGCUGUGGCACUUGCUCAAAAUCCACUUUUCCUAGGAACUGCAACCCCCUCCCCAUUCUAAUUAUAUUGCAUUACCCUGGUCCGACCUUGAACUCUCUUGACCUACGGGAAGCUAUUUCCUCACAGCAAGCCAGGUUACGCUGGGUGAUAUUUAGUGUAAUGCUCAAACAGGUAGGAAGAGGAAUGACAAACAAAGGGUCAGGGAUGCAUUCACAAGAGCAAAAGUCAACCAAAUUCAGCAUCUUGUUGCAUAAAACCUAAAUCCCUUCUUCACAGGUUUCAAUCCUGGCUUUGCUGCUGUGUUUCAGUUGCACUCUAAUCUCACCACAGAGCUGGUUGCAGUCUGAAUAUCCGAAUUAUUCUAAUAAAUAAGCUUCUGAAUGCAAAAAGUCUUUGGCAUUGUAAAAUUGUUACUCCUUUUAAAGAAUCGCUCUCAUGUAAAAGCAAUGCACCAAUAACACUUCAGAAGGUGUUCAUUAUAAAAUUAAUAACGGCUUUUUAUUCAGUACUAAAAGGUGGCCCAUCUGUACUCCAUUAACAUUUAUGAUCCAAGGGAUCAAUGAUUCAGUUAUGUUUGCUCUUACUGCUUCCUCUUAAAGGUGGGUUGCUCAGUAUUUUCAUGAGCUAAUCACUUCCUGCAGUGUGCCAGAGUCGAAAAAACUAGUACCUGAAAGUUUAAAUGGAGACAACAGAGAGGAUAUUUGUUUUCAAUUUCAUUAAAGCAAAACUAAAAGGUUCUCUUGAAUGAAAAAAAAAAGGUGCAGCGUCUAUUUUUUGAUGGUAUGACAGCUAUUAUCUUCAUGCCUUCCCAAACAUUUACUAAUGCAGCUGUGCACUGCUUUUAGAAAGUGUCAGCGAGUGUUUGUUUCCUUGUAUAUCUAAAGAAACAUCAGAGGUUGUACAGGGUUAACAGUUUGUUCCUUUGUAUUUAGGAAUGACUGGUAUGUGACAGCCAAAGACAGAGAUACUCCGAGAGUGGAAGUUCUGGAGUACAUCCAUAAGCGAUACAUAACACGCUGAAUAAAAGCACUUUUGCUAACCGCUACCACAUCCUUAGGUCAAGGUUAUUUUAAAAAAUGAAACGCAAAUGUGUGGGGAACUGUUGUAUAGGAAAUCAUCGUUGGCUGUUUCAUGCCUGAAGCGCAUGUGUAGACAUAAAUGGGAAGAGGUGGAGGGAUGGUUCUGAUGAGAUGAAGGUGAUGAGGGCGUGGAUUGGAUGGGUGGAUCCUGUAUUAAAGCAGUUGUUUGACUUGCAAAGCAGGCCUGGGUGCUCACGGAAUGGGUAUUGAGAGGAGGCCCUUCGCUGGAAGAGUGGAGCACAAGGGACACGGACUGUUUCUGUGCUGCUUUGUGCUGGGCUGCAGGCCUUGUCACCCACAGGCAUGAAUUAGUGAUAAGGAAUGUUUCAAGCCAUGAGGAGGUGUCAGGAUCAGGUUGGUUGCACUGUGUUUCCUCUUUCUUAGCGCUCUUUACAGGUCAUUCAGGGACAGGUGGCUAUUACGCGCAGACCCGCCCCUCCAUGCUUUGUUGGGAGUGAAUUAAGCUCGUGUGUAUGUGUGUGUACGUUUUAUCUCCCCUCAGCUCAGCGUCUUUAACACACAAAGCCGUGACCCAGGGUCAGGUGUGUAUCUAAGGGGGAUAACGUGCUACAAGCUUGUUGAAAGCCCGGUCUACUACAGGUGCUGUGUAUCUUUGAUAGAGGAGAGCAGGUCUGCUGGGGUCUGGAUGGACUCACAGAGACCCACUUCAAACUGUGAAGGACAUUAUCAUCACCAUGUGGUUGCCCUUUCUCUUGCUAUCCCGCUCUCUGUCUCCCUCCUUUCUGUGCCACCUCUCCUUGUCUUUGCCCUCAACUCCCUCCGCUCACUUAGCAUAUUCAGAUUUGCUAAUGUUCAUAUCUGACAAUUGGUGUGUUUACAUGGACAUCAGUAUUCUGGCUAGGAUCAGGGCUUUGAAGUAUGCAAAACAAGCUUCAGAUCUUGAGUUCCAAAAACCUGGAUAAGCCUGUAACUCGUUUUUGAGAGACCCAAAUCAUGCUCUGCAGAGUACUUGUUAGUGUUCAUCAUAUCUUAGCUGUGUUACCCGCAACUACCUGCCCGGCUGUGAUUUUGACCAGGUUGCAUCUAAGGAAUUAAAAGCAAGCAGUCAUCAGAGUCUAUAGAACCAGGAUAUGAAUAACAAGAUUUGUCUGUUACCUGUAAACACUAUACUCCAAAUUUUGAUCCCAACUGGGUUAGGCUGCAUUACUGGAGUGCCUCUGUCCAUGUUAACAAACUUAGUCCGAUUUGUUUGGAGUAUCUUUACAAAAAGAUGUUUGCAGUGUUUGUACAGGGUUUUCAGUCAGCGGCCAAUCAGAACUUGAGUGAAUCAAGUGCAGUAAAGUCCUUCAGAUUGUGCUACAGAUAAACAGUGCAGUUGGAUAUUUCGUCAGUAAUCAAACAAAGCAGUACUUGAAAAUACGAGCCGUGUCAUUUGGAUGUGCAUGCUUGUAUUUGAAUCAUCAUGCCGAAACAAUUAUUGAUCCAUUUAGUGGAUGAUGCUAAGUUUAAACAACCCCCCUGCUUACCACCCCAGAGAGCUCUUUAGGUGAAGCCUUUACCUAACUCUGACCUGUUUACAGAGCUGACAUGUUGCCAGAUCCCAAGGUGUGGAUACAAAUAGGCGUUGCUUUUUACAGGGGAGAACAGAACACAACACCGGAGAGAAGCGAAGAGGAGAGCGCAGGUAGGAAAGAGGAGAGGCAGCCAGGUUAGGCAGGUUUGGUUGUGGGGUGUAGCAUACCGGUAAGGCUGAUCUGUAGGAAUGUCAUUUGAAUGACUGGCUUUUUGUAGAGAGUAAUAAACUCAAUGCAUCCUCUUCCCCCCCCCAACCAUAACCCCCUGCUGGGUCUUAUGGCAGAUGGAGAAAGAGGGGAGGAGGGGUUGGACGAGUGGAUGUUCUAUAUGUGUGUUCAAGUGCAUGUAUGUUUUUUUUCCUGUGUUACUGUUGCCCAUGCAAUGUUACACUAUUUGCUUUUGUAUGUGUGUGUGUUUAUAGACAAAUCGAGGAUGGCUUGUUCUGCUGAAACCCCCCUCCCACUGCGCAGGCUUCAGUCGAUCAUUUUAAUCUCCCCCCACACGUGAGCGAGGGGACAGCCUUUCCUGAAACUUGGCACACAGUACAGGGUGGGGUAACCAGCUCAGACCGGAUUGACAACCUCCCUUUUUAAUACUGUUCCCUCGCAGCUUGUUGCGUGUCCUCUUCCUUCUCCUGUAGAGUUUUUUUCCACAGGGUCUGCUCUGGCAGCCCCCCC